GCUUCGUUAGCUCAGUGGUAGAGCGGACGGCUUUUAACCGUUAGGUCGCAGGUUCAAAUCCUGCACGAAGCU
RNAcentral lists this transfer RNA (72 nucleotides) under Vibrio cholerae. Its description in RNAcentral is "tRNA-Lys". It matches the Rfam family "tRNA". Rfam says of the family: Transfer RNA (tRNA) molecules are approximately 80 nucleotides in length. The record is from RNAcentral. Lineage: Bacteria; Pseudomonadati; Pseudomonadota; Gammaproteobacteria; Vibrionales; Vibrionaceae.